Molecule: RNA transcript, 390 nt
Organism: Molossus molossus (Pallas's mastiff bat)
Lineage: Eukaryota; Metazoa; Chordata; Mammalia; Chiroptera; Molossidae
Gene name: V-type proton ATPase subunit G 2-like
Exons: 1
Source: RefSeq, a predicted model, not a curated record
AGCAUCCGAAACAGAAUCUGCCAUAACGACAGAAAUGGCCAGUCAAUCCCAGGGUAUCCAGCAGCUCCUGCAAGCGAAAAACGAGCGGCUGAGAAGGUGGCAGAUGCCAGAAAGAGAAAGGCCCGGCGUCUGAAGCAGGCAAAGGAGGAGGCACAGAUGGAAGUGGAACAAUACCGCCGAGAGCGAGAACUGGAAUUCCAGAGCAAACAGCAGGCGGCCAUGGGCUCCCAGGGGAACCUGUCCGCAGAAGUGGAGCAGGCUACAAAGCACCAAGUGCAGGGCAUGCAGAGUUCCCAGCAGAAAAACCGAGGACGCGUCCUGGCCCAGCUACUUGGUAUGGUCUGCGAUGUCAGGCCCCAGGUCCACCCCAAUUACCGGAUUGCUGCCUAG